This is a long non-coding RNA of Perognathus longimembris pacificus (Pacific pocket mouse), 1085 nucleotides long. RefSeq lists it as uncharacterized. The transcript is spliced from 3 exons. The record is from RefSeq and is a predicted model, not a curated record. Lineage: Eukaryota; Metazoa; Chordata; Mammalia; Rodentia; Heteromyidae.
CUGAAGAUGACUGUUCAAGGCCAGUCCAAGAAAAUAAAGAAGUUUGAGAGAAUCAUCUCAACCAAUGGCUAGGCAUGGUAACAUGUUCCUGUUAUCCCAGCUAUGGGGAAGCACAGUAUCUUGGUACCUUGGCACAUGCCUGUCAUCCCUAGUGUUUUAAGGUAGCACAAGAAGGGGGGGGGGUGGGAAUCUCCAAAGCAGCUAUAGAAAAAAGGUAUAUAAUGUACAGGGAGAGAAUGGAAUGAUGGCAAGUUUUCUCUGGGAAGGAGAGAAGUCAGAGGAAGUGGCACACUGAAAGCACUUAGAGCAAGGAGUCAUCAGCCCAGAAUACUUCAUUCCACAAGAAUACCCUUUAGGAAUGACAGUGAAACGAAGGCAGCCUCAGAUGAAGGAAAACUAAGAGAAGCUAUGGCUGGCAGACCCUGCUUUUAAAAGACUUGCUGAUGAAAGUUGCUCCUCCAGGAAAAUGAGACCAGAGGAGGCUCAGAACUUCAGGAGGGAGGAAAGCAACCAAAACGUCACUGUCUGGGGGAAUACAGUGUUCUGCCCUUCUGGAUUUGAACAUUCAAGGCAAAAUUUAAAUGCUGUCUCUCUUCAUGGUGGAAAGGGGAGCUAAUGAAUUUAAAUGGGCUCUGAGACUAACAUAGAGACCCACAGAGCGAGGUGUCUCCACUCCACUUGGAGUAGCACUGCACUGUAUUGAUCCAGAGCUGUCUGUGAAAGAUCGACUUGGUGGUUGGGGAGUUUCCAGCCCCAUCCAUCAUGAGAAAGUUCCAUCAUUAAUUUUUCACCUAUGGGUUUUUGCAGCUACCAUAAUCAUUAUCCAGAUCCAUUCUUCAUCAGAGCUUAGAAAAUGGACUCUAAUUCUAUUAUUGUUGCAUUGGCUAAUAGUCUUUGAAAAGAAAAAAAACCACCUUUCUUACAUCUGGUAUCUGAUUCCUCUAAAGUACAUAAGAAAGAAGGACUAAAUGUUGCAUCCUUGCUAUUACUUACCAGCGUUCAAUAUACUGAAUUAAAAUACUAUUUUUCUAUUUUUAUUAUUUGUUGACUUAUUUGUCAGUCAUGGGGCUUGAAUUCAGGGCCCG